CCUACGGGUGGCAGCAGUGAGGAAUAUUGGGCAAUGGGCGCAAGCCUGACCCAGCAACGCCGCGUGAAGGAAGAAGGCUUUCGGGUUGUAAACUUCUUUUGUCAGGGACGAAGCAAGUGACGGUACCUGACGAAUAAGCCACGGCUAACUACGUGCCAGCAGCCGAGGUAAUACGUAGGUGGCAAGCGUUAUCCGGAUUUAUUGGGUGUAAAGGGCGUGUAGGCGGGAAUGCAAGUCAGAUGUGAAAACUAUGGGCUCAACCCAUAGCCUGCAUUUGAGACUGUAUAUCUUGAGUGCUGGAGAGGCAAUCGGAAUUCCGUGUGUAGCGGUGAAAUGCGUAGAUAUACGGAGGAACACCGGUGGCGAAGGAGGAUUGCUGGACAGUAACUGACGCUGAGGCGCGAGAGCGUGGGGAGCAAACAGGAUGAGAUACCCUUGUAGUG
RNAcentral lists this ribosomal RNA (443 nucleotides) under uncultured bacterium. RNAcentral's name for it is "partial 16S ribosomal RNA". It matches the Rfam family "Bacterial small subunit ribosomal RNA", at positions 338 to 795 of the family's 1533-position model. The record is from RNAcentral.